RNAcentral lists this small RNA (837 nucleotides) under Pan troglodytes (chimpanzee). Its description in RNAcentral is "retained intron". Lineage: Eukaryota; Metazoa; Chordata; Mammalia; Primates; Hominidae. The record is from RNAcentral.
UGGGCGGCAGCCGGGACACCAGCAAGGCCACAGACUGGCAGAGGAGAGGCUGGGCUUCCAGGCAGAGGGAGCCACCUGAGUAAAGCAGGGCAGGCCCGGGAGCGGAGAUCGGCCCGGGCUCCAGCCUGACAUCUGGGGCCCCUUGCUGCCACCCACUGCGGGUUUGGGUGUCUGGGCCCCUCUUGAGUGCCAGCUCCUCCUCAUCUCUUCCAGGAAGCAGUGCAUCGAGCUGGAGCAGCAGUUUGACUUCUUGAAGGACCUGGUGGCAUCUGUUCCCGACAUGCAGGGGGACGGGGAAGACAACCACAUGGAUGGGGACAAGGGCGCCCGCAGGUGGGGCCAGGGCCUGGCAUACAGUGGGGAAGGCCAAGGCCACAGGGCUUGGGGGUGGCCAAGGAGUAGGGAGAACUCCGGGCAGAUGGACUGUACCUUCCCAAAGGGGCCGGAAGCCAGGCAGCGGCGGCCGGAAGAACGGUGGGAUGGGAACGAAAAGCAAGGACAAGAAGCUGUCCGGGACAGACUCGGAGCAGGAGGAUGAAUCUGAGGACACAGAUACUGAUGGGGAAGAGGAGACAUCACAACCCCCACCCCAGGCCAGCCACCCCUCUGCCCACUUUCAGAGCCCCCCAACACCCUUCCUGCCCUUCGCCUCUACUCUGCCUUUGCCCCCAGCGCCCCCAGGCCCCUCAGCACCUGAUGAAGAGGACGAAGAAGAUUACGACUCCUAGCGCCUUCUGCCCCCCAGACGAUAGCCCCUUUUAGUUGGUUUUAGUUGCUCUGGGGGGAGGAGAGAAGGUAGAGCUGUUCUUAAAUUUAUUAAAAAAAAUAAUAAAAGGG